CCUACGGGUGUCUGCAGUAAGGAAUAUUGGUCAAUGGACGAAAGUCUGAACCAGCCAUCCCGCGUGCAGGAUGAAAGCCCUAUGGGUUGUAAACUGCUUUUAGCAGAGAAGAAAAGCUUUCAUUAAUGAGAGUCUGACGGUAUCUGCAGAAUAAGCACCGGCUAACUCCGUGCCAGCAGCCGCGGUAAUACGGAGGGUGCGAGAGUUAUCCGGUAUUACUGGUUUUAAAGCGGACUAUUAAGGAAGUGGUGAAAUCUUGUCGCUUAACGAUAGAAUUGCCAAUGAUACUGGUACUCUUGAAUUGGGUUGAGGUGAGCGGAAUGUGACAUGUAGCGGUGAAAUGCAUAGAUAUGUCAUGGAACACCAAUUGCGAAGGCAGCUAACUGGGCCUUGAUUGACGCUGAGGCACGAAAGCGUGGGUAGCGAACAGGAUUAGAUACCCCUGUAGUC
This 450-nucleotide ribosomal RNA is filed under the name uncultured bacterium. RNAcentral describes it as "partial 16S ribosomal RNA". It matches the Rfam family "Bacterial small subunit ribosomal RNA", at positions 338 to 795 of the family's 1533-position model. The record is from RNAcentral.